This 1556-nucleotide ribosomal RNA is filed under the name Escherichia coli. RNAcentral describes it as "bacterial SSU rRNA". It matches the Rfam family "Bacterial small subunit ribosomal RNA". The record is from RNAcentral. Lineage: Bacteria; Pseudomonadati; Pseudomonadota; Gammaproteobacteria; Enterobacterales; Enterobacteriaceae.
UUAAAUUGAAGAGUUUGAUCAUGGCUCAGAUUGAACGCUGGCGGCAGGCCUAACACAUGCAAGUCGAACGGUAACAGGAAGCAGCUUGCUGCUUUGCUGACGAGUGGCGGACGGGUGAGUAAUGUCUGGGAAACUGCCYGAUGGAGGGGGAUAACUACUGGAAACGGUAGCUAAUACCGCAUAACGUCGCAAGACCAAAGAGGGGGACCUUCGGGCCUCUUGCCAUCGGAUGUGCCCAGAUGGGAUUAGCUAGUAGGUGGGGUAACGGCUCACCUAGGCGACGAUCCCUAGCUGGUCUGAGAGGAUGACCAGCCACACUGGAACUGAGACACGGUCCAGACUCCUACGGGAGGCAGCAGUGGGGAAUAUUGCACAAUGGGCGCAAGCCUGAUGCAGCCAUGCCGCGUGUAUGAAGAAGGCCUUCGGGUUGUAAAGUACUUUCAGCGGGGAGGAAGGGAGUAAAGUUAAUACCUUUGCUCAUUGACGUUACCCGCAGAAGAAGCACCGGCUAACUCCGUGCCAGCAGCCGCGGUAAUACGGAGGGUGCAAGCGUUAAUCGGAAUUACUGGGCGUAAAGCGCACGCAGGCGGUUUGUUAAGUCAGAUGUGAAAUCCCCGGGCUCAACCUGGGAACUGCAUCUGAUACUGGCAAGCUUGAGUCUCGUAGAGGGGGGUAGAAUUCCAGGUGUAGCGGUGAAAUGCGUAGAGAUCUGGAGGAAUACCGGUGGCGAAGGCGGCCCCCUGGACGAAGACUGACGCUCAGGUGCGAAAGCGUGGGGAGCAAACAGGAUUAGAUACCCUGGUAGUCCACGCCGUAAACGAUGUCGACUUGGAGGUUGUGCCCUUGAGGCGUGGCUUCCGGAGCUAACGCGUUAAGUCGACCGCCUGGGGAGUACGGCCGCAAGGUUAAAACUCAAAUGAAUUGACGGGGGCCCGCACAAGCGGUGGAGCAUGUGGUUUAAUUCGAUGCAACGCGAAGAACCUUACCUGGUCUUGACAUCCACGGAAGUUUUCAGAGAUGAGAAUGUGCCUUCGGGAACCGUGAGACAGGUGCUGCAUGGCUGUCGUCAGCUCGUGUUGUGAAAUGUUGGGUUAAGUCCCGCAACGAGCGCAACCCUUAUCCUUUGUUGCCAGCGGUCCGGCCGGGAACUCAAAGGAGACUGCCAGUGAUAAACUGGAGGAAGGUGGGGAUGACGUCAAGUCAUCAUGGCCCUUACGACCAGGGCUACACACGUGCUACAAUGGCGCAUACAAAGAGAAGCGACCUCGCGAGAGCAAGCGGACCUCAUAAAGUGCGUCGUAGUCCGGAUUGGAGUCUGCAACUCGACUCCAUGAAGUCGGAAUCGCUAGUAAUCGUGGAUCAGAAUGCCACGGUGAAUACGUUCCCGGGCCUUGUACACACCGCCCGUCACACCAUGGGAGUGGGUUGCAAAAGAAGUAGGUAGCUUAACCUUCGGGAGGGCGCUUACCACUUUGUGAUUCAUGACUGGGGUGAAGUCGUAACAAGGUAACCGUAGGGGAACCUGCGGUUGGAUCACCUCCUUACCUUAAAGAAGC